RNAcentral lists this ribosomal RNA (273 nucleotides) under uncultured bacterium. RNAcentral's name for it is "partial 16S ribosomal RNA". It matches the Rfam family "Bacterial small subunit ribosomal RNA", at positions 524 to 796 of the family's 1533-position model. The record is from RNAcentral.
UACGUAGGGUCCGAGCGUUGUCCGGAAUUAUUGGGCGUAAAGGGCUCGUAGGCGGUUUGUCGCGUCGGGAGUGAAAACACGGGGCUUAACUUCGUGCUUGCUUUCGAUACGGGCAGACUGGAGGCAUGCAGGGGAGAACGGAAUUCCUGGUGUAGCGGUGAAAUGCGCAGAUAUCAGGAGGAACACCGGUGGCGAAGGCGGUUCUCUGGGCAUGUCCUGACGCUGAGGAGCGAAAGUGUGGGGAGCGAACAGGAUUAGAUACCCCCGUAGUCC